AUUGAACGCUGGCGGAAUGCUUUACACAUGCAAGUCGAGCGGCAGCGCGGGGCAACCUGGCGGCGAGCGGCGAACGGGUGAGUAACACAUCGGAACGUACCCAGUCAUGGGGGAUAGCCCGGCGAAAGCCGGAUUAAUACCGCAUACGACCUGAGGGUGAAAGUGGGGGACCGCAAGGCAUCACGUGAUUGGAGCGGCCGGUGGCGGUUUAGCUAGUUGGUAGGGUAAAGGCCUACCAAGGCGACGAUCCGUAGCGGGUCUGAGAGGACGGCCUGCCACAUUGGAACUGGGACACUGUCCAAGCUCCUACGGGGGGCAGCAGUGGGAAAUUAUGGACGAUGGGCGAAAGCCUGAUCCAGCCAUUCCGCGUGAGUGAAGAAGGCCUUCGGGUUGUAAAGCUCUUUCGGCAGUAACGAAACAGUGAGUUCGAAUAAAGCUCACUAAUGACGGUACCUGAAGAAGAAGCACCGGCUAACUACGUGCCAGCCGCCGCGGUAA
RNAcentral lists this ribosomal RNA (498 nucleotides) under uncultured bacterium. RNAcentral's name for it is "partial 16S ribosomal RNA". It matches the Rfam family "Bacterial small subunit ribosomal RNA", at positions 29 to 523 of the family's 1533-position model. The record is from RNAcentral.